AAAAACCAAACAGUCACUCCCUCUGAAGCAGAGAUUCUGUGGUGUGGAUAUGUGACAUAUAGUAUGUACAGAACUGGACUGGUGACAGUGCAGAGAUUAGCAGACGAGAAGGGGAUCAAACUACAGCACCAACCUUUUAGAAGCCAGAAAUUCAAGAGAAAGCUGCAGAACAAAAGCAGAUAAAACCAGAAACUUUAGGAAGUAAAUACAGUCAUCUAGCCCACGUGGUAGGAUGGAAUUCAGUUUGCUCCGACUGGAGGUAUACCAUUUGGAAGAAAAAUAAUCCUUUUUGGUUAGUAUUAUCCUAAACCUAGUUUCAUUUUCCUUUUGGUC
This 333-nucleotide long non-coding RNA is filed under the name Chelonoidis abingdonii (Abingdon island giant tortoise). RNAcentral describes it as "lncRNA (ENSCABG00000013360.1)". Lineage: Eukaryota; Metazoa; Chordata; Testudines; Testudinidae. The record is from RNAcentral.